RNAcentral lists this long non-coding RNA (9142 nucleotides) under Jatropha curcas. Its description in RNAcentral is "long non-coding RNA (JCUR_LNC001156)". The record is from RNAcentral. Lineage: Eukaryota; Viridiplantae; Streptophyta; Magnoliopsida; Malpighiales; Euphorbiaceae.
CUAAUUUUGGUUCCAACGUUACUAACAACUACAUUCAAUCACUUGCAGCCUCCACUUCCUUGUCAGAUCGAAUCAGAUUCAUUGACUUACCCGAAGACAAGCUCGAAACAUUUAGUAUCGCUUCUUUUAUUGAGAGACAGAAACCUCAUGUCAAACAAGUUAUUUCUGAGAUCACUCAAUCUGGGUCUGAUUCUCCUCGACUAGCUGGUUUCGUUCUUGAUAUGUUUUGUGCAACGAUGAUAGAUGUCGCUAAUGAUUUUGGUGUUCCAUCUUACAUUUUCUUUACUUCAAGUGCAGCUUUUUUUGGUUUCGUGCUUCAUUUGCAGGUGAUUUACGAUGAACAGAAUGUUGAUCCAACUGAGUUGAAGGAAUCGGACAUUGAGUUAGAAGUCCCGGGUUUGGUAAACCCAUUUCCUGCUAAGGUUAUGCCUUCCGCGAUGUUAAGCGAAGAGUGGUUUCAUCCCUUGCUCGACAAUUUCAGAAGGUAUAAGGAAGCUAAGGGUAUUAUCGUAAACACAUUAUUUGAGCUAGAAUCCUAUGCAAUCGAGUCUUUUUCUAAUGGUAAAACUAGAAAAACCCCUCCCAUGUAUCCAGUGGGUCCCAUUUUGAAUGUGGGGUCCGAUGGAAGCAGCAAACAGCAGGAAAUCAUGGAAUGGCUUGAUGAUCAGCCUCCAUCAUCAGUGGUGUUCCUGUGCUUUGGGAGCUGGGGAAGUUUUGAUGAGGAUCAAGCGAAAGAGAUUGCCUAUGCGCUAGAGCACAGUGGACAUAGAUUCUUGUGGUCCCUACGUCGACCACCGCCAACAGGUAAGAUGGAAUCUCCAAGUGAGUACGAGAAUCCACAAGAAGUUUUACCUGAAGGAUUCUUAGAUCGAACGGCUAAGAUUGGAAAGAUAGUUGGAUGGGCUCCACAAGCAGCUAUUUUAGCUCAUCAAGCUAUAGGAGGAUUUGUUUCUCACUGUGGAUGGAACUCUACAUUGGAGAGCAUAUGGUAUGGUGUUCCAAUUGCAGCAUGGCCAAUGUACGCAGAGCAACAGUUCAAUGCCUUUGAAAUGGUGAUUGAACUAGGAUUAGCUGUGGAAAUUAAAAUGGAUUAUAGAAAAGAGAGCAAAAUAAUUAUAAAUAGUGAUGAAAUUGAAAGAGGAAUAAGGUGUUUGAUGGAGCAAGAUAGUGAAAAGAGAAAGAAAGAGAAGGAGAUGAGUGAAAGGAGCAGAAUGGCUUUAAUGGAAGGUGGAUCUUCAUACAUUUGGUUAGAUUGUUUAAUGAAAGAUGUCAUGAGCAAUAUGGCAUGAUCAAAACAUUCCCAUUAUAUGGUUUUGUUUGUCAUUUUUCUUUUCUCCCAAAUUAGCCAAUGUUGGUGUCUAUGGCUCUUACUCAAUAAUGUAUUAAUAUAUAUAUAUAUGUGUGUGUGUGUGUAUGUACUUCUUAAACUCAAAGAAUGAGAAAAUUCCGAAUGAAGAAAGAAAGUUACUUACAUCACAGAUCUACUGGGAUUGGUUUUUAUUUUUCAAAGAGAGAAACCUAAGUUUCCCUCCUCUCUCUCUCCAUAAAGAAAUUAAAAAUGGAGAAGAUGGCUAGCAUAAGUAGAAUAAGAAGCCCAAAUGCCCAUCAUUUUGUCGCUCUCAAUUUGAUCAUAAUUUCAUCAUUCCUGCAUCUUCUUUAUCUCCUUAGUAUGUAAAAAUCUGAACUUUUCCUCUUUUCUUUUUGUCUUUUUACUUUUUUUUUUUUUUUUCCUCUGUUAUGCUGUUAUUGGAGUAGUAGCUAAUGCCAUUGGUGGCUGGUUAAAUCUGAGAACAAAGAAAUUGUUGUUACUAGGAUUGCAUUUAGUAAGUUUGAGAUGGAAGAUUUGUGGAGUCAAAUGGGGGCAUAAAAAUAUUUUCCUUUGUAAAAUCAUGUGGGACCAAGUGAAUUGUAGUGAUUUGUUUUGUUGGACGUCCACCGCAUGAUGGAGCUCGUUUCACCCCAGUAAGAUUUUGGGCGUUCCACCGCUGGAAAAAGAAAGAGGAAUAAGGUGUGUGAUGGAGCAGGAUAAUGGAAAAAGAAAGAAAGUGAAGGAGAUGAGUGGAAGGAGCAAAAUGACUUUAAUGGAAGGUGGGUCUUCAUACAUUUGGUUGGAUUGUUUAAUAAAAGAUGCCAUGAAAAAUAUGUCAUAAUUAAAAUAAUCUCAUUAACUCGAAGGAGAAUAAGCGCAAUGCAAACUCCUCUAGCCCCUUUGUUUUCGAGGGCAAGCGAAAAUUAAUCAGGCUUAUCACGAAUAUAGAUACGGACAUAUCCCCUUUGCUUUCGAAGGCAAGCGAAAAUUAAUCAGGCUUAUCACGAAUAUAGAUACGGACAUACCGUGAAAGUAUAAAAAAAAGAUAGAAUGAAAAUAAGGGCAAUCUUAGACAAUAACCUUAGUCAAAGGACAAUUUUUGAUUUUGUUUGUCACUUUUUCUUUUCUCCCAAUUUAGCGGACUUUGAUGCAUAUGGUUCCUACUCAAGAAUGUAUUGUGCUUCAAGCAUCUUUUGCUUAGUUUUGUAAGUUUCAAAUAAUGCAAGCCCACGGCUGUAGUGAAUAUAAUUUUAUUAUUAAAAGUUGAAUUUUUUAUUUAUCUAAUUUUUAUUCUUUAACAAAUUUUAAGGACUCUUUAUUUAUCAUUUUUUUUAAAUUUAUUAUGCGAUUAUUCAUCUAAUUUUUAUUCCGUAAUAAAUUUUAAGCACUCUUUAUUUAUUAUUAUUUUAAUUCAUUAAAGGUUUAUAUGCGAUAAAUAUAUGUGCUACACAAUAGGGGUAGUCUUCUCUUUGGCUCACAAAACCGGUGAAAACAACUGUGAUUAAGAGAACCCGAACUCGAGACCUCUCAAUCCUCAUAUAAGUGAGAAGAUCAAUCAAACUACUAACUGAUUGGCUCUCUCUAUAUCAUUUAAAUUUUAAAAUCAAUUUUAAUUUGUAUCACAGGAAAAAAAACUAAUUUCAUCGUUAAAUGACUUUAGAAUUUGAUAAAAUUAUAAAAUUCAAUCAAAAUUUUAAAAAUAACCAAAUCAAAUAACCAAAAUCCAUCCCUAAUAAUGAACAACUCUAGAAGUCUCCAUUUUGCCAUAUGUGGGAGGAGAGAGAAUUUUGAGGGUUAUAAAGAUAUAGUGCAACAUGUAAAGAUGGAGAUAAAAAUGGAGAGACUUUUGGUAUUAUAAACAAUGUUGGGAUAAGCUAAUCUACUCAAUGAGGUACAAUUCUAGGUGCUUAGGAGUUAAAAGGUCAUUUUAAAAUGGAAAUGAAACAACUCAAAUAGAUUAGAAUAAAAAUAUGAUUCUAUUCGGAAAUAAUGUUUAAAUAUAGUGUUUGGUAAUAAGGUCAUUUUUUUUUUCUUUUGUUUUCAACAAAGGCGGCUAACAUAUAUAUUAUAUGUUUUUUUUUUUUUUUUUUUUUGACAUUAUAUAUUAUAUGUUUUAGGUAACACCCAGCAAAGCCAUGGCAUCACUGUUUUUGUUCUUCUAGCUUGCAAUUUAUAAUACCGCAAAAUAGCAACACAACAAAGGUGGCUCCUUUUCCUAUGCUUAUGAAAACUAACUCAGUCACUGCCGCUUCAAGCUCAGAAGAAAAAUAGAUAUCUCCUGUCAAAAUGGAAGAAGCACAGCUCGUAUUCGUCCCUACCCCUGGUAUAGGCCACCUUAUAUCCACGGUGGAAUUGGCAAAGCUUCUUCUUAACCACCGCCACCAUGGACUCUCCGUCACUGUCCUUGUCAUGAAGCUAUCUAAUUUUGGUUCCAACGUUACUAACAACUACAUUCAAUCACUUGCAGCCUCCACUUCCUUGUCCGAUCGAAUCAGAUUCAUUGACUUACCCGAAGACAAGCUCGAAACAUUUAGUAUCGCUUCUUUUAUUGAGAGACAGAAACCUCAUGUCAAACAAGUUAUUUCUGAGAUCACUCAAUCUGGGUCUGAUUCGCCUCGACUAGCUGGUUUCGUUCUUGAUAUGUUUUGUGCAACGAUGAUAGAUGUCGCUAAUGAUUUUGGUGUUCCAUCUUACAUUUUCUUUACUUCAAGUGCAGCUUUUUUUGGUUUCGUGCUUCAUUUGCAGGUGAUUUACGAUGAACAGAAUGUUGAUCCAACUGAGUUGAAGGAAUCGGACAUUGAGUUAGAAGUCCCGGGUUUGGUAAACCCAUUUCCUGCUAAGGUUAUGCCUUCCGCGAUGUUAAGCGAAGAGUGGUUUCCUCCCUUGCUCGACAAUUUCAGAAGGUAUAAGGAAGCUAAGGGUAUUAUCGUAAACACAUUAUUUGAGCUAGAAUCCUAUGCAAUCGAGUCUUUUUCUAAUGGUAAAACUAGAAAAACCCCUCCCAUGUAUCCAGUGGGUCCCAUUUUGAAUGUGGGGUCCGAUGGAAGCAGCAAACAGCAGGAAAUCAUGGAAUGGCUUGAUGAUCAGCCUCCAUCAUCAGUGGUGUUCCUGUGCUUUGGGAGCUGGGGAAGUUUUGAUGAGGAUCAAGCGAAAGAGAUUGCCUAUGCGCUAGAGCACAGUGGACAUAGAUUCUUGUGGUCCCUACGUCGACCACCGCCAACAGGUAAGAUGGAAUCUCCAAGUGAGUACGAGAAUCCACAAGAAGUUUUACCUGAAGGAUUCUUAGAUCGAACGGCUAAGAUUGGAAAGAUAGUUGGAUGGGCUCCACAAGCAGCUAUUUUAGCUCAUCAAGCUAUAGGAGGAUUUGUUUCUCACUGUGGAUGGAACUCUACAUUGGAGAGCAUAUGGUAUGGUGUUCCAAUUGCAGCAUGGCCAAUGUACGCAGAGCAACAGUUCAUUGCCUUUGAAAUGGUGAUUGAACUAGGAUUAGCUGUGGAACUUAAAAUGGAUUAUAGAAAAGAGAGCAAAAUAAUUAUAAAUAGUGAUAAAAUUGAAAGAGGAAUAAGGUGUUUGAUGGAGCAAGAUAGUGAAAUUAGAAAGAAAGUGAAGUAGAUGAGUGAAAGGAGCAGAAUGGCUUUAAUGGAAGGUGGAACUUCAUUCAUUUGGUUAGAUUGUUUAAUAAAAGAUGUCAUCAGCAAUAUGUCAUGAUCAAAACAUUCCCAUUAUAUGGUUUUGUUUGUCAUUUUUCUUUUCUCCCAAAUUAGCAAAUGUUACUUCUUUUCUCCCGAGAAGUACUCAAUAAUGAAAGAUGUCAUUCUUUGGCGUCUAUGGCUCUUACUCAAUAAUGUAUUUGUGUGUGUGUGUGUGUACUUCUUAAACUCAAAGAAUGAGAAAAUCCCGAAUGAAGAAAGAAAGUUACUUACAUCACAGAUCUACCGGGAUUGGUUUUUUUUUUUUUUUUUUCCAAAAGAGAGAAACCCAACUUUCCCUCCUCUCUCUCUCUCCAUAAAGAAAUUAAAAAUAGAGAAGAUGGCUAGCAUAAGUAGAAUAAGAAGCCCAAAUGCCCAUCAUUUUGUCGCUCUCAAUUUGAUCAUAAUUUCAUCAAAAGUAAUUGGAUGGGCUCCAUAAGCAGCUAUUUUAGCUCAUGAAGGCUGAAGGUAUAGGAGGAUUUGUUUCUCACUGUGGAUGGAAUUCUGUGUUGGAAAGCAUAUGGUGUGGUGUUCCAAUUGCAGCCUGGCCAAUGUACGCAGAGCAACAGUUCAAUGCCUUUGAAACGGUAACUGAAUUGGAAUUAGCAGUGGAAAUUAAGAUGGAUUAUACGAUCGGAAGUGAAAUAAUUGUAAGUUGUGAUGACAUUGAAAGAGGAAUAAGGUGUGUGAUGGAGCAGGAUAAUGGAAAAAGAAAGAAACUGAAGGAGAUGAGUGAAAGGAGCAAAAUGACUUUAAUGGAAGGUGGGUCUUCAUACAUUUGGUUGGAUUGUUUAAUAAAAAGAUGUCAUGAAAAAUAUGUCAUAAUUAAAACAAUCCCAUUAACUUGAAGGAGAAUAAGCACAACGCAAACUCCCUUAGCCCCUUUGCUUUCGAGAGCGAGCGGAGGUGAGCGAAUAUUAGCUAGACUUACUUCGGAUACUAAUAUAGAUAUCUCGUGUAAAUAUAAAAAAAAAAAAAAGCGAGAGGAGGUGAGCGAAUAUUAACUAGACUUACUUCGGAUACUAAUAUAGAUAUCUCGUGUAAAUAUAAAAAAAAAAAAAAAUAGAACGAGAAUAGCACAACCUUAGACAAUAACCUUAGUCAAAGGAUAAUUUUUUAUUUUGUUUGUCAUUCUUUCUUUUCUCCCAAUUUAGCGGACUUUGAUGCCUAUGGUUCCUACUCAAGAAUGUACUGUGCUUCAAGCAUCUUUUGCUUACUUUUGCAAGUUUUAAGGUUGUUAGUCGUUGGAAAAAGUUUCGCAAAUAAUACAAGCCCAGGGUUGUAGUGAAUAUAAUUUUAUUAUUGAAGGUUGAAUUUUUUAUGCAUCUAAUUUUUAUUCCUUAAUAAAUUUUAAAGAUUCUUUAUUUAUCAUUUUUUUUAAUUCACUGGAGAUUUUUUUGCAAGAUAAGCCUGUGUGCUACACAAUAAGUAUAACCCUACUCUUGGCUCACAAAACUGAUGAAAACAAAUGUGGUUAAAAGAACUUAAACUCGAGAUCUUCCACUCUUCAUAUAAGUGAGAAGAUCAACCAGACUACCAACUGGUUGACUCUCUUUAUAUCAUUUAAAUUUUAAAAUCGAUGUUAAUUCGUAUCACAGGACAAAAAACUAGUUUCAUAGUUAAAUGAAUUUAGAAUUUGAUAAAAUUCUAAAAUUCAAUCAAAAUUUUAAAAUAACCAAAUCAAAUAACCAAAAUCCAUCCCUAAUAAUGAACAACUCUAGAAGUCUCCAUUUUGUCAUCUGAGGGAGGAGAGAAUUUUGAGGGUUAUGAAGACAUAGUGCAACAUGUAAAAAUGGAGAGAAUUUUGGUAUUAUAAACAAUGUUGGGAUAAGUUAAUCUACUGAAUGAGGUACAAUUCGAGGUACUUACGAGAUAAAGGUCAUUUUGGAACGAGCAUGAAACAACUCAAAUAGUUUAGAAUAAAAAUAUGGCUAUAUUCGGCAACAAUGUUUAAAUAUAGUGUUUGAUAAUAUAGCGUUUGAAUUAACUUUUAAAAACUAAGACUGCAUUUUGUGAAAAGUUACUUCAUACAUUUUAUGAAAAGCUAGUAAAUCAGCUAAUACCUAAAAGCUAUUAAAACAGCUAACAGCUACCAAAAUAGUUAAUUUUGCUAAAUAAACCUAUAGUUUAGCUAAUUCACAGUGCAAUAUAAAUUAAUAAUAGUUCAAAAUUUUAAUAUACAAAACACAAUAUAUUUAAAGGUUUCCAGAUGAUAUAUUUUUCCUUUUAAUAGCAAUUUACAACCACAUUAUAUAAAUUUUAUAUUAAUAAAAUAGAUAUCCAGCGAAUUAAAUUGCCAAGUCCACAGAGGAUAUGAAAAUAAAUUUAAUACUUAAAUUAUCAUUUUACAUUUCAACAAUGACUGUUGCUAAAUUUUAUUAAACAAUUAAUAUUUAUUAGUUAACUAAUAAAUCAAACAUGCCCUAAGUAACAAUUCACUCUAGAAUGUAAAAUUGAAAAAUAUAGAAAAUAAAUUAGAUAUAUAAAUCAAGUAUAAAAAUUAUAAAUGGUGAAUAAAUAAAUAAAAUAAACAAUUUUUAAAAACUCAAAAUCAACUACAAGACCAUUGAAAAAAAUUUUGAAUUUAUUUCUGUCCCGUGUGUCCCUUGCAUGCACCGAUGCAUUACCUUAAACAAUAAAAUUAGAUAAAAUUAAUAUUCACCUUAUAUAUAUAUAUAUAUAUAUAUAUAUAUAUAUAUAUAUAUAAAGUAAUAAUAAGAAAAUGCAUAAAACUAUAUGUAUAAAACAAUUUGGAGUCUAUUUCAUGUUGUUGGGUGGAAUAUACAGCAAUUAGCGAAUUUGUUUUUGUGUUAAUGUGCUGGACAUUAUAAAUACACGGCAUAAAAAUAUAAAAUGUAAAUACAGAAUGCCUCCGCCACAGCCAUAUCUGAAAUUACCCAAAUGAAUGACAAUGGAAGGAUAGAAUUGUCAUUUGACAUCGCUUAGGUUCGACUGUAUAUUUUCUUCACCAUUGUAAAACAGAUUAAUUCCGGAUUAGCUAUAUUGCUUAUUUUUCUUCUUAUAAGAAAAAUAAUAAAAAUAAUAAAUUGCAACUCUCAUUAUAUCUUAACAAAUUAAUUUUUGCCUUAUUUCCAAAGGUUAUGGGUAUUAAUAUUAUUUAUCUAUUUAUCAUGCAAUACAAUGUCAUUCUCAUAUUUGACGCGCUUUGCAGUUUCUCUGUCUAUAUUUUAAUUUACUCCAAUAUUUCAAAAUAGAAGAUAGAUAGAUCUAUUUGAUAACUUUUUAUAACUAAACUCACAUUAAAAAGGUCAUAAAAUCAAUGUUUAUAUUGGAAUCAUAUUCAUGCUAAAUUAAUUUCUUAUUGUUCGGUUUAAAUCUAAAAUUUAUUUAUUUGUUUAUUUUGGUAUCACGUCAAUCUGGAAAUUAAAACUCGAGAGGAUAAUAUUUUUAUGGACGAAGCAUCUUCCACAUUCCACAUCAGUAACACCCAGCAAAGCGAUGACGAAUUACCCUUCUUGGCUUCUUGCGUUCCCAGGUUGCAAUACCUCAAAUUAGUAAACAGACAUCGAAAGGCUCUCUUUUCCUGAUCCUUAGACUCGUCUAUAAAUAAGGGCACUCACUGCAGCUUCAAUGUUCAAACACCUCAGACUCAGAAGAAGAAUAAAUAUUCACUAAAAAUGGAAAACACACAGCUGCUAUUCGUCCCUUUUCCUGUUAUAGGCCACCUUAUAGCCAUGGUGGAAUUGACAAAGCUUCUUCUUAGCCGCGACCACCGACUCUCCGUCACUGUUCUUAUCAUGAAGCUAUCUAUUUUUGAUUCCAAUGUUAUUAAAAAUUAUAUUCAAUCAUUUGCACCCUCCACUUCUUUAUCAAAUCGAAUCCGAUUCAUUGACUUGCCCGAAGACAAGUUCGACGAACCAUUUAUUUUCGCUUCUUUUAUUGAGAGACAGAAACUUCAUGUCAAACAAGUUGUUUCUGAGAUAAAUCAACCUGGUUCUGAUUCGCCUAGACUCGCUGGGUUCGUUCAUGAUAUGUUUUGCACGGGAAUGAUAGAUGUCGCUAAUGAUUUUGGUGUUCCCUCCUAUAUUUUCUUUACUUCAAGUGCAGCAUUUCUUGGUUUCAUGCUUCAUAUGCUGGUGAUUUACGAUGAACAGAAUGUUGAUCCAACUGAGUUGAAGGAAUC